AAACAAUUGAUUAAACAAAGAACCUUCCUGACUGAACCUUGGAUUCCCCCUUUGAGUUUGAACAAGGAAGGGGGAAGGGUAUUUCCAUUCUUCUCACAUUCCUUAUCCUAAAGCUGGAUAGAGUCUGCCUGAGAGUCUGAAGAACAUGUGGUCUCUCCUGAUACUAUCUUAAUUGUGUUUAUCCAUUGGGCAGCCCCUACCCCUUUCUCUGGGGAAAUCAUUCCUGUAUAGGCUUUGGGGUUAGAAACUCUGGGUAGAAUCCUAGCUCUGCCACUGUAAAAUCUUGGACAGGAUAGGUGACCUCUUAAAGCUUUUGGUCUCUGUUGUGUUAAGUGAGAACAAUAACUUUAUCGACCUUCUGAGUUUGUGAGGGGACUGGGAGCUUCUCAGUGUACCCAGCCCCUAAUGAGGACCCCAGAAAUGGUAAGUUUUCUUGUUAUCACUAUUGGCUGUCCUUUAGCCUCCCACCCCUUUCCCCAGAGGCCACUGGAUAGCUCAGCAGAAAUUCAGUGAGGAAGCAGCCAAAGACCAUUUCUGGUGAUAAGUUUCACUGGGUUAAGGACUGUGGAAAGUGGAAAACACAUUUACUCUGAAAUUCCUCCUCCCCUUCAUCUAGUGAGAGCUGACCCGUAGGCUAUAGUAUCAAGAGCAAAUCACCGAAGGAUCCCAAAACUUAGUGUAGCUUAAGAGUUUCUUCAUUUCAUUUUGUCUCCAUUUGUCAAAGCAUAUGAAGCCUAAAAAAAAGCUGAGGCUGGGAAAGGAGGGAGAAUCAGGGUCUACAGACAGACACCACUGCCUUUCCUGCAUUAUUCGGGGCAGUGGAUGCCUCCCCAAGUCCUGCCUACUCCCUGAAGCUGCACGCAGAGACUACUUGGGAAGGAAACCUAACAGAGGUUCAGAUAAGUGAUCCUGGGUGCAGAUGAAUUCCACAGUGCCCUGGGAGAGGGGAAUGCUGUAGAGUAGAAUAAAGCAAAGCCCCAAAAAAUCCUAGAUUCAAAUUCACUCUUCUUAGCCUGUAGUCUUGGGCAAGUUGCUAAAUUUCCUGAAGCGACAGGUUUUCAUUUGUAAAAGGUGACUGACAGCAUUACAACUUUGGAGAGAAUAAAAUGGGACAUACAGAAGGAGCGCUCAUUGAUGGCAAGGAUGAACAUUGCCACAUCCUCGGGCAGGAGUUACUGGGCCAGGAGGGGCAAUCCCAACCCCGCACAGCUACCUGCAGUCCUACUGACCUGUCAAGCCAGGCCUCCUGUGGGGACCUGACCUCCUGUGGGGACCUAACCUGUCUUCAUCCCAGAACACUUUCAGGUUCCACAAGGCCAACGGCAUGGCCCCAGGGUGUUGGCGUGGUCAAGUGCCAGGGCUUAAAGCUCCCAGGCCUGGCGUUCUAUGCUAGCUAGCACUUGGGGCAGCAGCCAUUGUCUCUCAGGAGGCCCACGUGGAGCUGCAGCUUGUGGGUCACUGCAUAGGGGCCCAGCUUAAUCACAAGCAUUGCAACUCAGUUUGCGACUUCUAAAACUAUUGCAUUUUAAAGAGAGAAAAAAAGACUUAAAGGAAAAGAACUCAAGUUUGUCUACGUGUUGCCAUGGGAUUCCAUUCAAAUGUAUACAGAUGUAGUUUCUUUUUAUUUAAAACAAACACCAUCAUUCCUAAAUUGCAUUCUGUCAUCAUGUGUAGCAAAUUAGAAUAAAUAAAUAAUUUAAUUAAAAAAGUAAAACAAACAACAACAAGAAAAACCAACAAACCUUUCAAGCUGUGGACUGCAGUGGACAAAGAUUACACCAUAUUUGUGUUGCAGUGUUGCUAUGGUAGUGCAUAUGGUUUUAUUUGGUGGAAAUCUGCUGAGAAAUUGGAGAAAGUCAUGUAUGCAUGACAAACAUGAAGUUUCAGAAACCCAGCCUCCCAACAGAGAUUGGAAUUAAGACAAUUCUUGACAAUAACUUAAAAUCUAAAACAUAGGUGUGUGGGUGCCCCUUAUCCUAGCUGAGUGUGCCUGAGCCCUAAUUGAGAAGACAGGGGUAUUAGAGUUGAAUAUUAAAGGGUUUAAUCCAGUUCUGCCAGUUAUUACCUGUGUGACCUUGGGAAAGUUACAGUAUUGUGAGUGACCUUUGCUUUCCUCCGAUCUGAAACAGAACAAUAACCCCUCUUGUGUGUCACUGUUGUUGAGAAUAGAAACAAGAUAAUGGGGGUCUUGAGCAUUCUGUGCUCAAUAAAUGGUAAGUGGUGGUGUCAGUCCCAAUUAUGCAGCAAGGAUUGGGGUUCCUUCAUCAAAUUAUCUAAAAAUGCUCAGAAAUGUGCUCUGGCCUGAACAGAGAAAAAAUUCCAUGUAGGUUGUGCUACAGUUUGAGCCUUGAGGCUUGAAGCACUGUGGGGAUGCCAAAGAUCUUCAGUUCUGAUCAGACUUGAUUAUGUGAACAGUUGUCAUCAGACUGGAUGAUCCCAGAAAAGAUGAUCCCAGAUUCUCAACUGCCAAGGUAACUGAAAGGUUGUCCACUCUAAACAAUGGGGGUACCAAG
RNAcentral lists this long non-coding RNA (2513 nucleotides) under Marmota monax (woodchuck). Lineage: Eukaryota; Metazoa; Chordata; Mammalia; Rodentia; Sciuridae. The record is from RNAcentral.